GUGCUCGUUUUAGCAGCAUAUAUACUAAAAUUCGAACGACACAGAGAAGAUUAGCAUGGCCCCUAUGCAAGGAUGACAUGCAAAUUCGUGAAGCAAAUGAGGAUCAU
Molecule: small nuclear RNA, 107 nt
Organism: Sarcophilus harrisii (Tasmanian devil)
Lineage: Eukaryota; Metazoa; Chordata; Mammalia; Dasyuromorphia; Dasyuridae
Source: Ensembl